RNAcentral lists this long non-coding RNA (584 nucleotides) under Salvia miltiorrhiza (redroot sage). Its description in RNAcentral is "long non-coding RNA (SMIL_LNC011123)". Lineage: Eukaryota; Viridiplantae; Streptophyta; Magnoliopsida; Lamiales; Lamiaceae. The record is from RNAcentral.
CCAAAUACAAAGACGAACAAUUUAUGAUCUUAAUACUCAUCUAAUCCUUUCCAAACCUUGUUGGAGGUGCUGAGAACCUUCUGCGUUUCUUUGUUUGGGGGUGAGAGGGGGAUGAAUUCUUUACUUUUUUGGCAGAUGUAUAUCAUGAGUUGCUAUUAAUGGUGUUUAGGAGCAAUUUGUGUUGUACUUUUUAUGUUUCACAAGCCAAGAGGGGGUAGGAGACGGGAGUGGAGCUGCAGGGCGGGUAGGGGGCAGGGGCACGACGACACAUGAUAGCAGUGUCGUGGCGGCGAGGAGGAGGUGGAGGUGAUGAGCAGCGGCCAUGGCGGUGGGUUGAAUAAGUUAGGGUUGAAUGAAGGGGAAUGGGAGGAAAAAGAAAAGUUGUGUUAUUUUAUUACGUGGAUUUUCAUGAAUUUUUUUCUUUCUUUUUUUAAUUCCACGUGUCUGCCAUGUUGGCACUUGGUCGGAACACGUCAUAUACCAGUUGUCGGAUUAUUUUUGCGGGUCAUAAAUAAGAAAAAAAGUGAAACGAUGGGUACUAUUUUUUAAUUAUGCUUAGGGUAGGAUAUUUUUGAAAAAACGUC